CCAGACUCCUACGGGAGGCAGCAGUGGGGGAUAUUGCACGAUGGGGGGAACCCUGAUGCAGCGACGCCGCGUGGGUGAAGGAGCGUUUCGGCGCGUAAAGCCCUAUCGGCAGGGAAGAAGGAGGACGGUACCUGACUAAGAAGCCCCGGCUAACUACGUGCCAGCAGCCGCGGUAAUACGUAGGGGGCAAGCGUUAUCCGGAUUUACUGGGUGUAAAGGGGGCGCAGACGGCAGCGCAAGCCAGGAGUGAAAGCCCGGGGCCCAACCCCGGGACUGCUCUUGGAACUGCGCGGCUGGAGUGCAGGAGGGACAGGCGGAAUUCCUGGUGUAGCGGUGAAAUGCGUAGAUAUAUGGAGGAACACCAGUGGCGAAGGCGACGAUCUGGCCUGCAACUGACGCUCAGUCCCGAAAGCGUAGGGAGCAAAUAGGAUUAGAUACCCCAGUAC
This 446-nucleotide ribosomal RNA is filed under the name uncultured bacterium. RNAcentral describes it as "partial 16S ribosomal RNA". It matches the Rfam family "Bacterial small subunit ribosomal RNA", at positions 331 to 793 of the family's 1533-position model. The record is from RNAcentral.